UACGUAGGCAGCAAGCGUUGUUCGGAAUUACUGGGCGUAAAGGGUGCGUAGGCGGUUUGGUAAGUCUUAUGUGAAAUCUAUGGGCUCAACUCAUAGACUGCAUGAGAAACUGCCGGGCUUGAGUAUGGGAGAGGUGAGUGGAAUUCCUGGUGUAGCGGUGAAAUGCGUAGAUAUCAGGAGGAACACCUGUGGCGAAAGCGGCUCACUGGACCAUAACUGACGCUGAUGCACGAAAGCUAGGGGAGCAAACAGG
This 253-nucleotide ribosomal RNA is filed under the name uncultured bacterium. RNAcentral's name for it is "partial 16S ribosomal RNA". It matches the Rfam family "Bacterial small subunit ribosomal RNA", at positions 524 to 776 of the family's 1533-position model. The record is from RNAcentral.